Molecule: ribosomal RNA, 467 nt
Filed under: uncultured bacterium
Lineage: Bacteria
Description: partial 16S ribosomal RNA
Rfam family: Bacterial small subunit ribosomal RNA
Source: RNAcentral
GACGAACGCUGGCGGCGUGCUUAACACAUGCAAGUCGAACGGAAAGGCCUCAGCUUGCUGGGGUACUCGAGUGGCGAACGGGUGAGUAACACGUGGGUGAUCUGCCUUGCACUCUGGGAUAAGCUUGGGAAACUGGGUCUAAUACCGGAUAUGAACUGCCUUUAGUGUGGUGGUUGGAAAGUUUUUUCGGCGCAAGAUGAGCUCGCGGCCUAUCAGCUUGUUGGUGGGGUAAUGGCCUACCAAGGCGUCGACGGGUAGCCGGCCUGAGAGGGUGUACGGCCACAUUGGGACUGAGAUACGGCCCAGACUCCUACGGGAGGCAGCAGUGGGGAAUAUUGCACAAUGGGCGGAAGCCUGAUGCAGCGACGCCGCGUGGGGGAUGACGGCCUUCGGGUUGUAAACUCCUUUCGACAGGGACGAAGCUUUUUGUGACGGUACCUGUAUAAGAAGCACCGGCUAACUACGUG